AUGAAUGAACCACUGGAAGAGUUUGCUAAGGGAUCCACUGAAUUGACGCCUCGUCUGGAAGCAAUACAUCCUUUUUGGACAACAUCAGUGGGAAUGAAUGAAGUACAAACAUGCAGACAAGUUACAGGCAGAAUCAAGUUAAAACCAAUACCAAAACAUCUCAAGAGGCAUUUCCUUCCUCACUGCAAUACUAAUCAAUAUAAAAGCACAGAACUUGAGUUAAAAAAUGUCAAUUCUUCUUCAACAGAUAAUGACAUUAAAACAACAAACAAGGAAGAACAAGAAUGGCUUGAUGGAAGUAAAAAUAAGCAAUUUGAAGAAAAAGAGCAGCGUUGCCAAAGUAAGGAAAUGGAAGUGUUAAGAAACUUGCAUGAAAGUGCUGCUCCUCCUGAUGACAGUGAUGGUUGUGGACUGAAUCAGCAGAGAAAGAGUGGGGACCUUGACAACCAGCAAUCUGCCACUAAGAAGAAUGAAGAAUAUUAUUUCUGCCCUGCCUUGCAUAUAAAGGAAACAAAAAAUGAAAAUGAAAAAGUGACUUCCAUGGAGUAUGGGAUUAGACCAGUGAUAGAGAAUGGCUUUUCACUCACUAGAAGUCUACUGCAAGUGAUUUAUGACAACAAUCUGAGUGAGCUCGAUCGUCUUAAAAGGGAACAGUUAAGAAGAAAAGAAAAGCAAUAUCAUAAAGAAGUAGUAGUGAAACAACUUGAAGUGACACAUAGAACACUAGAAUUGGAUGCGAGGACUUCAAAAAACAAUUUGACCCAGUUCCAAGAAUCAGAAGAUGAACAAAAGGAGUUGGUACAAAACACUGAGAAAAUUCAAGAUCAUCUGGAAAAGCAUGAUCAGGAAAAUCAUGAGUUGAAAGAUACAAUACUAAAGCAAGCAAGGGAAAUUAAAAAUCUUCAGGAAAUCCUUUUCAGACUAAGUUCAGUAGAUAUGAAACACCUGCAGCAGCAACAGGAUGACAUUGAGAAAAGGCAAUGUAAAUCGGAGGCAUCGCUGAGAGAGAUGGCACAGUUUUACCUUAAGUUAAACAGCAAGAUGCAGGAUAUAAUGAACAAGUUAGAUGAAAUCAUCAGAAAAUUCCAGGUAUCAGAAAAUCUACACCAAGGAGUGGUAGAAAAUGUAAAGAAGACACAAGAUUAUCUAGAACACUACAAUUCAAGGCUUCAGUCUGAAAUUUUGGAAAUGAAAGAUAUCGUCAAACUGCAUGCUGGCAGUAUUGAAGAGCUGCAGAAAAAUCUGAUAAGACCAAGUUCAGUAGAUGUGAAACACCUGCAGCAGCAACAUGAUGAGCUUCAGCAAAGACAGUCUAAAUCAGAAGCAUCCCUGGAAGAUAUGGCGUGUUUUUACUAUAAGUUGAACAAUAAGACAAAGGAUAUAAUGGACGAGUUAGGUGAAAUCAACAGAAAAUUCCAGGAAGCAGCAGCACUACACCAAGAAGAGGUACAAAAUGCAAGGAAGUUACAAGAUCACCUUGAACACUAUAAUGCAAGGCUUAAAUAUGAAAAUUCACUAUUAAAAGAUACCAUCAAAGUUCAGGCAAACAGAAUUGAAGAGCAACAGAAGUACCUGAUAAGACCAAGUUCAGUUUCACCGGAUAAUGUAAGAAGAUGUUGUAUGAACUCAGAAACUGAAAUCCAGAAAUUGAAGAAGGAAUUAAGUGACCUCAGGAGACAAGUACAUUGA
Long non-coding RNA from Oryctolagus cuniculus (rabbit), 1689 nucleotides. NCBI's taxonomy places the organism in Eukaryota, Metazoa, Chordata, Mammalia, Lagomorpha, Leporidae. The record is from Ensembl.